This 233-nucleotide long non-coding RNA is filed under the name Homo sapiens (human). Its description in RNAcentral is "non-protein coding lnc-RASGRP1-8:1". Lineage: Eukaryota; Metazoa; Chordata; Mammalia; Primates; Hominidae. The record is from RNAcentral.
CACACACACACACACACAAGUACAUUUGUACACACAGUUCUAUGUGUAUACAUACAUGCAAAUACAUAGAUAUCAAGGUUUUAUCUAUUGUGUAGUUAAGUUAUUGUUACUAAUGUUAAUACUUCAGACCUAAGACUUAAAAUGAAAUUUUCUCAUUACCUUAAAGACUGGUAUUCCUUGUUUAUGAAUCACUCUCUUAUCCACUGGUGUUUUAAAAAAUAAUUUAUAAAAUG